UGAAGGCAGUCACUGGAAUGAAGAAUGAGAACGAGCCACCCAAGUUGCCCAGAAAGAGCAUCCAGGCAGAGGGAGCAGAAAGUUCCAUCCUCGCCCAGCGCUGCCCACCCAGCCUUGGGGCACAGUCAGCAGCCCCCUGGAGGAAGCCCCGCAGAGGGGUAAGGAGACACGGCUCCCAGCCAGCCCGGCCUCACCUCUGUGCUGGUGGCCCAUCCAUGAUGAUGUUGAUCCACAGGAUCUGCAUGGCGUUGAGGGGACUCGGCAGGUUGAACACGGUGGACAGAGUGAUGAGACUCAGGGCGGAGAUGCUCCUGCAGGGCACACGCAGCCAAUCAGGGGCCGUCCGCCAGGCGUGGCGCUUAAUGACACUUGGAAUGCUGGCCUCUACUUACGUGCUGAGUUGGAAUCGCACAAAGUUUUUGAUGUUGUAAAAAAUCCCCUUGCCUUCCUCCACUGCACUCCUGCAAGAGGAGAGAGCUGUUUACUCCCGGAGACGACCUGCGGAAGGGCUGGACCAGUGCAUCGGCUGCUGCAGGGGGCAGUGGUGACUUGCCCAGAUGGACGUUGUACUUGGGCCCCUGCUGGUUCCCUUUGCUGGCAUUCUUGGGGACACAUUUGUAGGAGACGCUGGUGUUCUAACAGGUGCCCCUCGGCCACUGGGAACUGAUCCUCGAGCCAUGUUCAGCCUUCUGUGCCCAGGGUACACUCGAUGCCUCCAGUUAGUUACACCAUAAAUUACUCUCCUCCUGAGCUCAGGGACCCCAUCCCUGCCUACACUCCCGAAGUGCUCCCUGCGUCUCAGCCAUUUACCAAAGAGAAGAGAGACACAGCAAAACCAGUGACACCUAAAAAAUGAGGUCCGGAGGACGGUAAGGAGGGAGGGAUGGGCAGGCUGAAGGACAUUGCCUACUUCUGUCUUUAGAAGGCUCUUCGCGGAUGCCCUUUUAAACCUUAACCUGGGGUCACUAAUGUAGAAAAACCAUCUAUGUGCUGCACCCACCCCUGCCACCAGAUUUUACUAAAAUAUUUUGCAAAAGAACUAUAGAGCUGA
Long non-coding RNA from Symphalangus syndactylus (siamang), 1051 nucleotides. RefSeq lists it as uncharacterized. NCBI's taxonomy places the organism in Eukaryota, Metazoa, Chordata, Mammalia, Primates, Hylobatidae. The record is from RefSeq and is a predicted model, not a curated record.